RNAcentral lists this ribosomal RNA (492 nucleotides) under uncultured bacterium. Its description in RNAcentral is "partial 16S ribosomal RNA". It matches the Rfam family "Bacterial small subunit ribosomal RNA", at positions 29 to 507 of the family's 1533-position model. The record is from RNAcentral.
AGUGAACGCUGGCGGUAGGCCUAACACAUGCAAGUCGAACGGCAGCACAGUAAGAGCUUGCUCUUACGGGUGGCGAGUGGCGGACGGGUGAGGAAUACAUCGGAAUCUACUUUUUCGUGGGAGAUAACGUAGGGAAACUUACGCUAAUACCGCAUACGACCUACGGGUGAAAGCAGGGGAUCUUCGGACCUUGCGCGAUUGAAUGAGCCGAUGUCGGAUUAGCUAGUUGGCGGGGUAAAGGCCCACCAAGGCGACGAUCCGUAGCUGGUCUGAGAGGAUGAUCAGCCACACUGGAACUGAGACACGGUCCAGACUCCUACGGGAGGCAGCAGUGGGGAAUAUUGGACAAUGGGCGCAAGCCUGAUCCAGCCAUACCGCGUGGGUGAAGAAGGCCUUCGGGUUGUAAAGCCCUUCUGUUGGGAAAGAAAAGCAGCAGGUUAAUACCCCGCUGUUCUGACGGUACCCAAAGAAUAAGCACCGGCUAACUUCGUG